GACAGAGGUGGCGAGCGUUGUUCGGAAUCAUUGGGCUUAAAGCGUGUGCGGGCGGCGGCGUAAGUGUCGAGUGAAAGCCCGCAGCUCAACUGCGGAACGGCUCGGCAUACUGCGUCGCUUGAGGUUGGUAGAGGUGCUUGGAACUCUAGGUGGAGCGGUGAAAUGCGUAGAUAUCUAGAGGAACGCCUGAGGCGAAAGCGGAGCACUGGGCCAAUUCUGACGCUGAGACACGAAAGCGUGGGGAGCAAACAGG
RNAcentral lists this ribosomal RNA (253 nucleotides) under uncultured bacterium. RNAcentral describes it as "partial 16S ribosomal RNA". It matches the Rfam family "Bacterial small subunit ribosomal RNA", at positions 524 to 776 of the family's 1533-position model. The record is from RNAcentral.